Molecule: ribosomal RNA, 598 nt
Filed under: Bacillus safensis
Lineage: Bacteria; Bacillati; Bacillota; Bacilli; Caryophanales; Bacillaceae
Description: bacterial SSU rRNA
Rfam family: Bacterial small subunit ribosomal RNA
Source: RNAcentral
UUCCUUGAACCGCAUGGUUCAAGGAUGAAAGACGUGUUUCGGCUGUCACUUACAGAUGGACCCGCGGCGCAUUAGCUAGUUGGUGGGGUAAUGGCUCACCAAGGCGACGAUGCGUAGCCGACCUGAGAGGGUGAUCGGCCACACUGGGACUGAGACACGGCCCAGACUCCUACGGGAGGCAGCAGUAGGGAAUCUUCCGCAAUGGACGAAAGUCUGACGGAGCAACGCCGCGUGAGUGAUGAAGGUUUUCGGAUCGUACGCAAGCUCUGUUGUUAGGGAAGAACAAGUGCGAGAGUAACUGCUCGCACCUUGACGGUACCUAACCAGAGGAAGCCACGGCUAACUACGUGCCAGCAGCCGCGGUAAUACGUAGGUGGCAAGCGUUGUCCGGAAUUAUUGGGCGUAAAGGGCUCGCAGGCCGCAAGGUUUCUUAAGUCUGAUGUGAAAGCCCCCGGCUCAGACCGGGGAGGGUCAUUGGAAACUGGGAAACUUGAGUGCAGAAGAGGAGAGUGGAAUUCCACGUGUAGCGGUGAAUAUGCGUAGAGAUGUGGAGGAACACCAGUGGCGAAAGGCGACUCUCUGGUCUGUAACUGACGCU